Molecule: non-coding RNA, 632 nt
Organism: Pogona vitticeps (central bearded dragon)
Lineage: Eukaryota; Metazoa; Chordata; Lepidosauria; Squamata; Agamidae
Source: RefSeq, a predicted model, not a curated record
UCGAAAGACAAAGCCAGGCCGAGAGCCGGAACAACACGGUGGUAUUCUGAUAGUGUGUUGGAUUCGGAUGCUCCUCUUCCCUGACCAGGCUGCCGACAGGAUUCAAGCAUGAUAUCCUCAGAGCUAUUUGCCUCUGCAAUGAGACUUGCAAAUUCAGCCCAUGUUUACCACUCUGUAACCAAUCACGUGCUGGACUACAAGACACUGAGGUUUCCGCGAGCCACUGACAGCCCGAGCUAUUUUUUUCCGGGGGGGGGGACCUUUUCUCUCCUGACUGCGGAUGCAGCUGAAGGAAAACGCAGCCGGCAUGCUAAAGAACUGCAGCUAUCUGCCAUGCACCUUGUGCUCUUUCCUCUUCAUGUCCCCGUUCUCCUGCACCGACCCCAUCAAGGACAACCUCUCCUGCAGGCAGAACCCCCAGAGCCUGGCCCGUGGGACCGAGGGCACCCAGACCCGGAUCGCCUGCCAACCAAAGCACGGACAGAUAUGUCGGCAUGGCAGACAGCUCCUAGUCCCCAGUCUCCAUUUUCAUCCUCACUGUCAUCUGCUCAUGUUAAGUCAUGCCCUAAGAUGCGCCAUCCCUUUAUCCAUUCGGGGAGAUGGUGGUGCACAUUGCCGACAUGCAGCGGGUC